GUUGCUGAAUGCUAGUUGAAUGCAUCUCGUAAAGCGAAGGGUCAGUAUUAGGAGGUAAGUACACGGCACACACAAAGAUAUUUCCAUCCUUCAUUUCAAUACAGACAGCGGUUUGUUCCACCGCAUCGCCUUCCACGACUGUAGAAGCGCUCUUUAGCUCGGUUUUGACGCCUAUCAGCACUCCACCACCUCUGCUAUAUUGGCUGGUAGCAGAACUACGAUCACGGCGAUAGAGAGUGUAACGAGUAGUUAGUUCCGAGUCAAGUAUAUCAUCUUUCAGCCAGGUCUCAGUAAAAACAACGACGUCGUAGUCACAGGCAGAGAGAGUAAUGAAAAGAUCGUUUGUUUUGGUCCGUAGCCCUCUAACGUUUUGGUAAUAAAUCGUUAGUGGUCGAGGGGCUCGGAUGUCGGAUGUGUGAUUGUUUGUUAUGAUCGGUUCGAAAUUUCGGAUCUGCUCAGAUUCACGUCCUAAUGAAAUCAUUUCAGCACUAUGAAUCUUUGGUCGAGACGGAUCGUGCACGAAAAGUAUUCCUUGCUGGUUGGUCAUAGUCGAAUUCUCGGAAAAUUAUUCCUUUCUGCCACGAAGAACUUUGGAGGGCCAGAUCCUUGAGAGACAAACUAAUACCGACUUUGAACGAAACAAAGAUCCAACACAAAAUCACAGAAUUAGAUGCCAAAUCGGAGCUCGGAUGAUGAUACUCGAUAGUAUUCCAGUGCAGUGGUUGACGAUGCGUGCGACGAGAUAAUAUAACUGAUCCCACACAACGAUUAAAUAUUGGAGUAUGGAAUGAAUACAUGCGAAAUAAAAACGCAGCAGCGCUUUUUUAGGCACAAAACAACGUACUCUUUUCAUGAGACCACAUAGAGUUGAAACUUUUCUCGAUACAUGAUUUAUAUGAGUGUCCCAUGAUAGACAAGAAUCUAAGUGUAGCCCUAAAUAUUUCAAAGAUGUGACCUUCUCAAUUGACAUGUUCCUGACAGACGGAUCGAGAUGUUGACAGAUUUUUUUGCGUGGCGAAUGAAAAACCAUAUAUUUUGUUUUAGUAAGGUUUAGUGUGAGAUGAUUACCACUAAAAUAUUCCAUGAGAGCCGUUAGAUCUGAUUCCAUAUCAGCUACAAUGGAUUCAACAUUAGGACGAGGGUAAAAUAAAGCUGAAUCAUCUGCAAAAAGUCUCGGUAUACCAUGUAGUUUAAAAUUUCCUAAAUCAUUGAUGAACAUCAAAAAGAGUGAAGGACCUAUGUUACUUCCUUGAGGAACUCCCAUGCCAAUUGGGCAUAAGUCACUGCGAACACCAUUAAACAUAACGAAUUGUUUUCGAUCAGAUAGGUAGCUUUUCAUCAAAUCGUUAGCAACUCCUUUUAUACCAUAUCUUUCAAGUUUUUAAAGCAAAAUUUCAUGAUCUAAAGUGUCAAAAGCUUUUUUAAGAUCGAUAAAUAAGCCACCUACGAUCUUUUCUUGAUCAAUUUCACAGAUCAGUUCAUCAACGAGCUCGAUAAU
Toxorhynchites rutilus septentrionalis is the source of this 1498-nucleotide long non-coding RNA. RefSeq lists it as uncharacterized. The record is from RefSeq and is a predicted model, not a curated record. Lineage: Eukaryota; Metazoa; Arthropoda; Insecta; Diptera; Culicidae. The transcript is spliced from 3 exons.